RNA transcript from Trifolium pratense (red clover), 2916 nucleotides. RefSeq lists it as uncharacterized. The transcript is spliced from 8 exons. Lineage: Eukaryota; Viridiplantae; Streptophyta; Magnoliopsida; Fabales; Fabaceae. The record is from RefSeq and is a predicted model, not a curated record.
AGGCAAGGCAGUGUUGCCAGCCCUAAAUCAAUGGAAAUCUGAAGCCCUAAUCUUCACCCAAUUGUGCUUUGCCAUAUUUCUCUAUCAUCCAAUAAGAUUUUGACACACCUAGGUUACAAGGCUGUCUUGGAAGCCCUAAAUCUUUGCUUAUUUGAAACCCUAAUCCUUACCCAAUUAGCCUUUGACAUCUAUCUCCAUCCUCUAGGUUUGCAUUCAUUCAAAUAAUUUUUUGCCAGAUGUCUCAUAUGGACCUCUCCUAUAAUUGCUGGUUUAUGCAAACAACAGGUAUUGCUGGUUUAUGCAAACAACUGGCACAAAUGGUUUAUGGAAACAAUUGUGGUUUUAUGAUUUCCCAAUUUUUCUCAUUUGUGAAGUUUUUUUUCUCUCUCUUCCCCCUCUCUCUCUCGUACGCUCUGUUCUUUCUCACCUUCCUCUCACACUUUCAUCUCUCUUUCUCUCUGCACUCUCCAUCUCAUCCUUCACCAUAACAUCCACACAACAACCUCCACCACCAUCUAUGAAAUUGAGGCAAUGAAAUGAUGAAAUCGGGAAACAAUUUUGAAUUUUUAUGAAAAAAUGUUGAAAAUUGAUGGAUUAGGGUUUGGUUGAUUUAGGGAUCAAGACCAAGGCAGCGAUAGUGCCAACCUUGCAUGCAAGAAGCGAAGGAGAAAAGAAGAGCGCUCGCCGUUGUUGAAGGUGAAAGGGAGCGCAUGAAAUCGAAGAGGAAAAGGGUUUCUACCAUUCACGAAGAAGAUGAAUAUCUGAGGGAAAUUGGGAAGAAAGAGUUUGGGAAGAAAAGAAAGGGAGGAAAGGGAAAUAUGGCCGAGUGAGAAAAUAUUUGCCGGCGGGAGAGAAGUUCCGGCGAGGAGGAGGAGUUCCGGCCGAGAGAGUUCUUGUGGCGUAGGGUUGGGCAUUAAGGUUGCAAUCAAGUCGGAAUUUAUGAUCGCACCGCCGAUGGGAAUAAGCGCAGUUGAUUCUUCAGUUGCUGGUCUUGGUGGCUGUCCAUAUGCUAAGGGGGCUUCGGGAAAUGUAGCUACCGAAGAUGUUGUGUACAUGCUUAAUGGUCUUGGUGUGAAAACCAACGUCGAUAUUGAAAAGCUCAUGUCAGCCGGCGACUUCAUCGGCAAGCAUUUGGGGCGACCCUCUGGCUCAAAGACCGCCAUUGCCCUUAGCCGAGUCACUGCUGAUUCUUCUAAGAUAUGAAUUUUGUGUUAUUUUGUUCAAAACAAAGUUAAGUUUUGAUUUUUAAUGAUUUACGUUUUGUGGGGUCUGUUUGUUUGUGUUGGACACAGGUAGUUGAAGUUUCAACUUCCAAAACUGGAAAAACAUCAUGUUAAGUGUUGCUUUGUAGGUAUUGACAUCUUCACUGGCCAAAAACUUGAAAAUAUUGUUCCUUCUUCUCAUAACUGUGAUGUAUGAUUUUCAUUUUAAUAUGAGAUUAUCUUUUGGGUUUGGAUUAUAUUUUUAAUUAAUUGAUUAACUAAUGUGUGUUUGUUUGUUGUUACAACAGGUUCCUCAUGUCAAUGUGCUCAUAAACUUGCUUAAUCUUUCGCUUUUUUAGUUUUCUUUCAUAUUCAGAUUUGUCUCUGUUUUGCGGCUAGGAAAAUGAUGAAAACUCACGACCACAACCUUUCUAAUGGGAAGAGGUUCACAAAAUUAUGGUUUGAUUGUGUAAGUUUUCUAAACUUUAUUUGAUUGUAUUUGAGUAAUAUUUAGCUGAUGUUUGGGAUUUGAGUAAGUUUUCGUUUCAGAAUUCAAUUUUAUCAGAAAACUUGGGUUUGUUUUGAUUACCAGAAAAUGGAAUAUAGAGUUUCAGAAAUCAAUUAUCAGAGAUUGUUGUUCAUGAAUUUGAAAAAAAAGUAUGUCUUUUUUUAUUUGAAUUCCCUAUUUUUCUUCAAUUGUGUUUCUUAUAUCUGAUUUUAUAAUCCUCUCUCUAUUUUUAUUUUUUUUGUUUUGAAAUUAUUGUUGCUUAGUUGUCAUAUUUAUUAGGAUUUGUUUCUAUGUUUUAGUUAAUACUUAAUAAUAAUCACUACCUUUUAGGAGUUGUUAGUGGGAUUUAGAUGCUUAGUUGUCAUAUUUAUUAGGAUUUGUUUCUAUGUUUUAGUUAAUAAUAAUCACUACCUUUUAGGAGUUGUUAGUGGGAUUUAGAUGGUUUUCUCAAAUACAAUAUAAUUGAUUUGUUUUUGUUAAAUUUUAGAUUUUCUUUUUUUAGAUUUUGUAUCUUUUUUUUUUUUUUUAUUUGAUUUGUUUCAAUUUUAAUUUGUUUUAUUUGUUAUUCCACAUAAGAAAGAAAGUGAUAUGGAGAGGAACUGGAUUGGUGGUCCAACAAUGAUACUUAGUUCUAAGGAUCUGAGACUGUAUCUUCACUUGGCGCCGGAAUUUGCUCAUUAUAAGGGAAAUCACUUUUAUGUGCCUGUGACAAGAAAAGGAUAUUGGCAUGUUAAUUACUACAUAUAAUUUUUUUUCAUGUAUAGUAUUCUUUUUCGUAACCUUUUUUUUUUGUUUUUCUUUUCAGUUUGAUAUUGGAGAUGUAAUUAUUGAUGGUAAAUCCACUGAUAUUGUGUUGAUGGAUGUGCGACCAUUGCUGACUCGGGGACUUAUUUGUUGGCGGGUCGAAUGGAACCUUUGGUCCCUGCUUCUUCUUGGACACCAUGUUCUGAUCAGCGAAUUUGGGAACCUAAUGAGGGAAGUAAUGGAUACCAUUUGGUUAGUGCAAAUGGUGGGAUCAACCAACAACGGGUAGCUGUAGUACUAAGUUGAAAGUUGAAACUAAUCUUUAAGAAUAUGUCAUGGCAGCCAUGGUAAAGAUGCUGGCCGCUUCACUGCUGCUUGGGAACUUUACAAAGCUCAGGAGGAUGUUGUAGCUGCUUGCAAUGAUUACGGUAUUAAAGUUACACUGUUUCAUGGCCGUGGAGG